CCCUUAGAUGUCCUGGGCCGCACGCGCGUUACACUGAUGCAUUCAACGAGCUUAUAACCUUGGCCGAGAGGCCUGGGCAAUCUUGUUAACGUGCAUCGUGAUAGGGAUAGAUUAUUGAAAUUAUUAAUCUUGAACGAGGAAUUCCUAGUAAACGCAAGUCAUCAGCUUGCAUUGAUUACGUCCCUGCCCUUUGUACACACCGCCCGUCGCACCUACCGAUUGAAUGGUCCGGUGAAAUCUUCGGAUUGAGACUUUGAUUUGUUUACUCAAAACGCUGUUUCAAGAAGUUGAUUAAACCUUACCAUUUAGAGGAAGGUGAAGUCGUAACA
RNAcentral lists this ribosomal RNA (329 nucleotides) under uncultured eukaryote. RNAcentral's name for it is "partial 18S ribosomal RNA". It matches the Rfam family "Eukaryotic small subunit ribosomal RNA", at positions 1470 to 1796 of the family's 1831-position model. The record is from RNAcentral.